GCUCCUCCCGGGCCCUUAGUAAGCCAGCCGAGGGAAGCUCAGAACUCUCUGCUCCUCCAUGCUCUGGAUGAUAGCCAAAGACAGCUGAAUCCCGCCCUGCCCGUUUUUGUGCGCCCUGCCGCCCCGCCAUUUGCUGCCUGCCGGACCCCUCCACGUCGGCCAGCCGUGCGCCGCCAGACCCGAUCGGUCAACAAUUCUCCGUGACUCCCAGUCAAAGAUCGGUCAACAAUUCUCCGUGACUCCCAGUCAAAGGGGAGAGCUUGGGGAGCUUCUCUCAGCGGAUCUGUGGAGAGAAAAUGGCGCUGAAAAAAUGAAGCUUCGGCCGAUGAGACAAUAUUCUGCUGCCUGGAGUAGUAGUUCCUGUGCUCUGCCGCUUUCUAGAGGAGCGGGGAGUUGGACGGAACCCAGCAAGUGCCUAGAAAGAGAAACACAAUGUAUAAAUGUGAUGCAACUGACCUAAGAGUACAAACGAUAAAGAGCUGGAUAAGCGUCUGAUAAUGACCAGGAGUAUUCUAUAGCUCAUUACCACACUGAACUACAUUAGUCAUCUGUGUGUGCAUCUGCUGCCGCUGUAACGUCUGCGACUUUGUGGUAAUAGCGGUACAAGCCCUUCCACGGUGUACAGCGUAUGUCCAAUGUGGAUCUAUAGAUGCAAUCCCGCUUGGUGUGCCUUUAGAUGCAACCAUUGGUCACACCAUUGUGUAUGGCCUCCAAUGUGAAAGAGUGUGCGUCUGAGCCCGCAAACCACUUCUGCGACACUCCCAUAACACGUCCAUAAGACGGGACGUCCCCGUGCAUCUGCAUAGCCACCUCGCAGAACAUUUCUGAGACCGUGCAUCUCAUUCGCUGCUGCAACCCUGUACUCACACACUAGGGGGCGCAUGUGCUGUGUGACAUUUUAGCAACUGUGGGGGCUAUUCAAUUAGUGCAGAGUCAGAAAAACCGGCACUAAUUCAACCUGUGGGUAUUCAAUAGCCGGCAUUUUCAACAGGUUUUUGCUCCGUUUUCGCCAUGCCUUUUCGAUUUCUUUUUUGCAGAAUCGGCAUGGGUGAAAACGGACCAAAAAACUGUAGAAAACUCCUGCAAAUUCGACAAAACACGUCGAUCAGCGGCGAAUUCGCCGAUCCACGUGGUUUUCGUCUGGGUGGAUUUUUCGACAAGUCGAAAAAAGCGGAACAGGCUUUGAAUAGGUCGAGUAUGAAUUCAACCUACAAACGGGCGGAAAGUGAAAACGGCAGUGACUGAAUACCCCUCUUAGACGUAUAUACACAAUUGGAAAACAUCAAACAUUUGAGUGAAUAUUUCCAGAAAGUCCAACUCAGUAUGAGGCUCUGUUUUUUUGGGACAAAUAGGACUUGGUAGCACAGGGAAAUCAAUAUCUUAGUUUAGGUGCAUUACACACAUUAAUGGACCCAUUUAUCAACAAGUUUUAGCUAUUUAAAACUUAAGAAAAGAAAAAGAGAAAAUAACAUGGCAUAACUGUAAUGUGUAUUUGUAAACCAUUCCAAGGCGUCUUAGAUAUGAUGGGAGACAUUUGUACAUUCAUUUAUAUUUUGUUUGUCUUACAAUGGCGAAUAAAGUUUUCUGACAUA
Molecule: long non-coding RNA, 1592 nt
Organism: Pseudophryne corroboree (corroboree frog)
Lineage: Eukaryota; Metazoa; Chordata; Amphibia; Anura; Myobatrachidae
Exons: 6
Source: RefSeq, a predicted model, not a curated record